GACGGACGCUGGCGGCGUGCUUAACACAUGCAAGUCGAACGGAAAGGCCCUGCUUUUGUGGGGUGCUCGAGUGGCGAACGGGUGAGUAACACGUGAGUAACCUGCCCUUGACUUUGGGAUAACUUCAGGAAACUGGGGCUAAUACCGGAUAAGAGCUCCUGCUGCAUGGUGGGGGUUGGAAAGUUUCGGCGGUUGGGGAUGGACUCGCGGCUUAUCAGCUUGUUGGUGGGGUAGUGGCUUACCAAGGCUUUGACGGGUAGCCGGCCUGAGAGGGUGACCGGCCACAUUGGGACUGAGAUACGGCCCAGACUCCUACGGGAGGCAGCAGUGGGGAAUAUUGCACAAUGGGCGGAAGCCUGAUGCAGCAACGCCGCGUGCGGGAUGACGGCCUUCGGGUUGUAAACCGCUUUCGCCUGUGACGAAGCGUGAGUGACGGUAAUGGGUAAAGAAGCACCGGCUAACUACGUG
Molecule: ribosomal RNA, 468 nt
Filed under: uncultured bacterium
Lineage: Bacteria
Description: partial 16S ribosomal RNA
Rfam family: Bacterial small subunit ribosomal RNA
Source: RNAcentral